This is a non-coding RNA of Oryctolagus cuniculus (rabbit), 3006 nucleotides long. Lineage: Eukaryota; Metazoa; Chordata; Mammalia; Lagomorpha; Leporidae. The record is from RefSeq and is a predicted model, not a curated record.
CCUCCCAGAAUGGAGCUGAAUCAGAAAUGGAGUAGCUUGGGGCCAGCACCGUGGCUCACUUGGUUAAUCCUCCACCUGUGGCGCCGGCAUCCCAUAUGGGCACCGGGUUCUAGUCUCAGCUGCUCCUCUUCCAGUCCAGCUCUCUGCUGUGGCUCAAGAAGGCAGUGGAGGAUGACCCGGGUGCUUGGGCGCCUGCACCCACGUGGGAGACCAGGAGGAAGCACCUGGCUCCUGACUUCAAAACAGCAUAGCUCCGGCCAUGGUCUCUCUCACUGUCUAACUCUAUCAAAAAAAUUAAAAAAAAAAAAAAAGAAAGAAAGAAAGAAAUGGAACUGGAACUCUAAUCUGCAUUCCAAUAUGGGUUACUGGAGUCCUAAGUGGCAGCUAAGCCUACUGCAUCACAAUGCCUGCCCCACUAUAGUUCCUUUUUUUGUGUCUUUCUUCUCCCAAGUCCUUUGAGAGCGAAGACUCUCGAAUCCCACUGACCAACCCAGCCCAAAAGUCAGUUCGGUGAAUUGAUUCAGAGGGGCACGCAUUCCCAUUGGAAGUCUCUGGCUGGUUUCAGCUGUAUGAAUCCUGGCCCCAGGAAAGCUGAGAGUGAGCCAGCCAGCUGUGUGGCAUUGACCACCAAGCCAUCCAAUGAUCCUUUCUGCUCUCAUCUGCUUGGCAAAGGAGCCAGCAGCAAGCAAACACUGAGAUCCUCUGGGAAGUGGAAGAUGCAGGAUAAUGGGCAGUCAGGAUCCCCAGCAGGCCCCAGCUUCACCAAACCACUGAAAGGAUGAGGCUCAGCAAUCGGAAGUCAGCUGAUCAUCCCAGGGCAUGAUGGGACCAGAGGAGAGAGGAACAUGGGAGCCAGUGGCUAGUCCAGGCGGAGUUCAGACUCACACAGGGCAGUUUGUAGCGAGGGCAGCCGUGUGGACACACCAGGGCUCUUCAGGGAGACAGCGGCCCCGCACUCCAGCCCUCCUGAGGACAAGGCUGAAAUGGUCACAGGUGGAAAAAGCUACGUCUGCCUCUGGCAAAUGAGAGAACUUCUCAGAGCACCAGGGAAAUGGAGUUAAAAGAUUGUCAAUCUGGCAACCAGUACUGAGGCUAAAUUAUCUUCUUGAACAUCUUAAAUGAUGAGAGGAAGGCCUCUGGGAUACGGAUUCUUGGCAUUGGUUACGUGACGAAAUCUCUAGAUCUGAAAAGUUGAGCAAGAGACGUAUUUGAACCACAACUAUUUAUUCUUGCAAAAUCAGCAUGGACUUUUGGACCGUUUGGGCUGGAAGGAGACAGCAAGACCAUGUAGCCCAACACGUGAACAGAGGGGAGAGGUGGGAGCCUGGAGUUUCACUGUCAAAGUUACCUCCAGGUCUAACAUCUGGUGCCCUCGCUCUGAGAGGGGAGAACAGAGGGGAUAAAGCCGAAAGGGAGGUGGGAAGCUGUGCUGAACGUGGAGAGGGGCUGGUAAGCCGAAAGGGAAGUGAGACUGUCUGGGUUUGGGGUUGCUUGUCACUUCUCUCUCCGGGUGGCUGUUCCAGGCUUCUCCCCGGACCAUGCAGCCUUCCUGCUCAGGGUUCAGGCUUCUCUGCGCUGAGCCCCCUCCUCCAGGCCACCUAGGUCCCUUCCUUCAGUCCCUCAAACACAGCCAGCACAAGACAGCUGCAAGCAAUCAACUACUGGGGAGUCUUGAAGUGCGAGGACCUUCGUGCAGGAGAGAAAAGCAGGAGAGCUUCACCACAGAGCCUCCCGGCGCCCUCCAGAGACCUCAACAUGAACAGCCACAAGGGGGCUCCUACUGUCAGGCUCAGCCCUUGGCUCCACUCUGCUGACAUACUGUGUUUGUCCUUAUCUUUCCAGAACUGGAACUGGAAGUCCCCACUUUUCCAAGCCAACGACUUCCACUACCAUCCUUCCUCCCUAUUCCAGUAAGAAACAGCUCCCCUAGAAUAAUCUGUGAGAAGGAUGCUACCUGAGUCCAGGGAAGCAGACUUUCCCAUUCUAUAGUCUGCAGAUAGAUGAUCCCUGAUUUAGGCGGUUCAACCACAAUUUUUCCACUUCGCAGUGGUGUGAAAAUGCAACACGUUCAGUCGAAACCAUACUUCAAAGUUUGAGAUUUGAACUUUUCUGGGGCUGGUGCUGUGCCAUCCACUCCUCUGAGAGCCCAGUUCCAGUCUCAUGGACACCAGGGAAACAAAUGAGACUGCCAGAGCCUAAUUUCUACACUUUGACCAGAUCACAGCUCAACAUUCGAACAUUACGUUAAUUCCAAUGGAACAAUAUUUGAUGGCUAGGAAGAUAUGUCAGCCUCUGGGCCCCUCCUUGAACAUUUUAAUUCUUACAGUUGUGUUCCCUAGGUUUUGUAUUCAUUUGCUCAUUGUCAGUCAACAAACAGUCUAGCCAUUAGCCCUAGAAGAAAACUACCCACCUGUCUGCCCAGCCCCCACAUCAGCCCAGGUGCUCCCUUUCUGCACUUAGCCCAUUCCUCCUCUCAUUACCCCUUUUGUGGCUGCUUCUUCCAAGUCCCCACUGAGAAUUAAAAUAUCUCAUCCUUUGGGCUCCAAUGGGUUUCUUCAGGACCCACAAGUUGACACGUGUUCCAGUGGUAGGAUCUCUGAUCAGGCUUCAUGUAUGAGCAGGGACAGAUCUGUAGACUCCCCAGGAUACCCAGGUGGCCUCAGUGUUCCCCAGCAGAGACAGGAAUAUUGAAAAUGUUUGGAGAAGAGAAUAACAUGACCCAAGUGCUGUUUUAGGGAGUUUCAAAUGAAAUUAAUCUCAGUUCUGAAAAGUUAGAAAAAGUAGAAUCCAUUGGUGUGAUACGUAACUUUUUUUGUUUUUUCUUUUUUUCCUUGUUUUUUUUUUUGUUUUUGUUUUUGUUUCUUUUUUCUUUUCUUUUGUUAUUUUUUUCUUUCUUUUUGUGAUGUGUAACUUUAAUUUAAAUAAAUGAACUUUGAAAUAAGCUGUUAAAUUCAUGCAUUGUCAAUUGUUUCUUUUGUGACUAGUAGAUGGAUGGCUAUCAGCUGA